Passer domesticus (house sparrow) is the source of this 597-nucleotide long non-coding RNA. RefSeq lists it as uncharacterized. NCBI's taxonomy places the organism in Eukaryota, Metazoa, Chordata, Aves, Passeriformes, Passeridae. The record is from RefSeq and is a predicted model, not a curated record. The transcript has 2 exons.
AUUCUGCACGUGAUCUUCAUUCAUCUUCUCCAAAGCUUCAAUCUAGAGAGCCAAAAAUAAAACCAUGCUGAAAUCAUAAAACCAUGCCAGUAGCAGAAGCCUUCUAAACAGCAUUAAAAGUAGCUUUUGAAGCCAGAGCAGAGAAGGACACUAUCAGCAUGGAAAAUGUGCAAGAGUAAUCUUCUAAGAUAGCUUGUAUCUUAGAAAACAUACAGCAUAACAGAAGAUUGUCAGACAAAGAGGUCCUACCUGUGAAACAUUCCUACAGUCUCUGAACAAGAACUCAAGUCCAUGAGGAUGGGUUGGCUCCACAGACUGACUGACAUCAAUGAGCCAGACCUGUAGUCACAGAGAAACAGCAAUUUGCUUUGUAUUAGUAUUUCACAGUAGAUACAACUUUUCUCCCCCAAAUUAAGAACAAACUCACCUUCCCAUCAUGCCAAAGCAUGUUGUAUUCACUCAGAUCUGCAUGGACCAGGUUGCACUCCCUAUACAGCUGCUGCAUCAUCUGCAAGGAACCAAAUUAAUGAAGGAAGUAUGCUAUACUCCAAAUGAAUAUUGCUAGCAUGACUUAAAAAAAAAAAAAAGCCAAAACAA